AUUAAACGCUGGCGGAAUGCUUUACACAUGCAAGUCGAACGGCAGCACGGGGGCAACCCUGGUGGCGAGUGGCGAACGGGUGAGUAAUACAUCGGAACGUGCCCAGUCGUGGGGGAUAACGUAGCGAAAGUUACGCUAAUACCGCAUACGAUCUAUGGAUGAAAGCGGGGGACCGUAAGGCCUCGCGCGAUUGGAGCGGCCGAUGUCAGAUUAGGUAGUUGGUGGGGUAAAGGCCCACCAAGCCGACGAUCUGUAGCUGGUCUGAGAGGACGACCAGCCACACUGGGACUGGGACACGGCCCAGACUCCUACGGGAGGCAGCAGUGGGGAAUUUUGGACAAUGGGCGCAAGCCUGAUCCAGCCAUUCCGCGUGCAGGACAAAGGCCUUCGGGUUGUAAACUGCUUUUGUACGGAACGAAAAGGUCCUGGUUAAUACCCGGGGCUCAUGACGGUACCGUAAGAAUAAGCACCGGCUAACUACGUGCCAGCAGCCGCAGUAA
This 500-nucleotide ribosomal RNA is filed under the name uncultured bacterium. Its description in RNAcentral is "partial 16S ribosomal RNA". It matches the Rfam family "Bacterial small subunit ribosomal RNA", at positions 30 to 523 of the family's 1533-position model. The record is from RNAcentral.